RNAcentral lists this ribosomal RNA (502 nucleotides) under uncultured bacterium. RNAcentral describes it as "bacterial SSU rRNA". It matches the Rfam family "Bacterial small subunit ribosomal RNA", at positions 28 to 533 of the family's 1533-position model. The record is from RNAcentral.
GACGAACGCUGGCGGCGUGCCUAACACAUGCAAGUCGAGCGGGGUUGAAGCGAGGGGUAACUCGAGUUUCUACCUAGCGGCGGACGGGUGAGUAACGCGUGGGCAACCUGCCUCAAGGACUGGGAUAACAGCUCGAAAGGGCUGCUAAUACCGGAUAAGCCUAUGGCCUCGCAUGGGGCCAUGAGCAAAGGGGAAACCCGCCUUGAGAUGGGCCCGCGUCCCAUCAGCUAGUUGGUGAGGUGAAGGCUCACCAAGGCGACGACGGGUAGCCGGCCUGAGAGGGUGACCGGCCACACUGGGACUGAGACACGGCCCAGACUCCUACGGGGGGCAGCAGUGGGGAAUCUUGCACAAUGGGCGAAAGCCUGAUGCAGCGACGCCGCGUGAGCGAAGAAGGCCUUCGGGUUGUAAAGCUCUGUCUGGAGGGACGAAGGAAGUGACGGUACCUCCGGAGGAAGGCCACGGCUAACUACGUGCCAGCAGCCGCGGUAAACGUAGCGUG